UACGUAGGGGGCGAGCGUUGUCCGGAAUUACUGGGCGUAAAGGGUGCGUAGGCGGCGAUUUAAGUUGGAUGUGAAAUACCCGGGCUUAACCUGGGGGGUGCAUUCAAAACUGGAUGGCUAGAGUGCAGGAGAGGGAAGCGGAAUUCCUAGUGUAGCGGUGAAAUGCGUAGAUAUUAGGAGGAACACCAGUGGCGAAGGCGGCUUUCUGGACUGUAACUGACGCUGAUGCACGAAAGCGUGGGGAGCAAACAGG
Molecule: ribosomal RNA, 253 nt
Filed under: uncultured bacterium
Lineage: Bacteria
Description: partial 16S ribosomal RNA
Rfam family: Bacterial small subunit ribosomal RNA
Source: RNAcentral